This 114-nucleotide ribosomal RNA is filed under the name Zingiber officinale. Lineage: Eukaryota; Viridiplantae; Streptophyta; Magnoliopsida; Zingiberales; Zingiberaceae. The record is from RNAcentral.
UCGAUCAUACCAGCACUAAUGCACCGGAUUCCAUCAGAACUCCGAAGUUAAGCGUGCUUGGGCGACAACAGUUCUAGGAUGGGUGACCCCCUGGGAAGUCCUCGUGUUGCACCU